This 490-nucleotide ribosomal RNA is filed under the name uncultured bacterium. RNAcentral describes it as "partial 16S ribosomal RNA". It matches the Rfam family "Bacterial small subunit ribosomal RNA", at positions 30 to 507 of the family's 1533-position model. The record is from RNAcentral.
AUUGAACGCUGGCGGCAGGCCUAACACAUUCAAGUCGAACGGUAACAGGAAGACGCUUGCUUCUUUGCUGACGAUUGGCGGACGGUUGAGUAAUGUCUGGGAAACUGCCUGAUGGAGGGGGAUAACUACUGGAAACGGUAGCUAAUACCGCAUAACGUCGCAAGACCAAAGAGGGGGACCUUCGGGCCUCUUGCCAUCGCAUGUGCCCAGAUGGGAUUAGCUAGUAGGUGGGGUAACGGCUCACCUGUGCGACGGUCCCUAGCUGGUCUGAGAGGUUGACCAGCCACACUAGAAAUGAGACACGGUCCAGACUCCUAAGGGAGGCAGCAGUGGGGAAUAUUGCAAAAUGGGCGGAAGCCUGAUGCAGCCAUGCCGCGUGUAUGAAGAAGGCCUUCGGGUUGUAAAGUACUUUCAGCGGGGAGGAAGGGAGUAAAGUUAAUACCUUUACUCAUUGACGUUACCCGCAGAAGAAGAACCGGCUAAAUCCGUG